GCCUACGGGACGCAGCAGUGAGGAAUAUUGGUCAAUGGUCGGGAGACUGAACCAGCCAAGCCGCGUGAGGGAUGAAGGUACAGAGUAUCGUAAACCUCUUUUGUCAGGGAACAAAGGCGGGGACGUGUCCCCGGAUGAAUGUACCUGAAGAAAAAGCAUCGGCUAACUCCGUGCCAGCAGCCGCGGUAAUACGGAGGAUGCGAGCGUUAUCCGGAUUUAUUGGGUUUAAAGGGUGCGCAGGCGGUCUGUUAAGUCAGCGGUCAAAGCCCGGGGCUCAGCCCCGGCCCGCCGUUGAAACUGGCCGU
This 305-nucleotide ribosomal RNA is filed under the name uncultured bacterium. RNAcentral's name for it is "bacterial SSU rRNA". It matches the Rfam family "Bacterial small subunit ribosomal RNA", at positions 337 to 640 of the family's 1533-position model. The record is from RNAcentral.